RNA transcript from Marmota monax (woodchuck), 12412 nucleotides. It is a transcript of the gene named G protein-coupled receptor 65, with no coding region annotated. Lineage: Eukaryota; Metazoa; Chordata; Mammalia; Rodentia; Sciuridae. The transcript is spliced from 5 exons. The record is from RefSeq and is a predicted model, not a curated record.
CAAGAGUGGUGGUUUCUCUUCUCAAUGCCAGAUUUAUCAGGCUCCUCAGUCGACAAAAGCAUCACUCCAAGAAACAGGGAGGAAACCAUGAGAAGACAGGUUCCUGAGGUCAGAUCAAGAGAGGUCAGCAAAGAAAUCUAGAAGCAGAGAAGAUCCAUGCCCCAUUUUGACUAAAGCUCGGGAAGAACAUCACCUUUCAGUGACCCCCUGCACCAGAGUAGGAGAACUGAAACAUAAGUGAGAAGAAGACAUGGGGUACGCUGUGCUUAAGCAAAAGAAGAUAGUUGAGAGAAGGCCAGCUCGUAUGGGGCAUUAUCACACGCUCCCAGAGGUGGAAGGAUUCUUCUAGAUGAAGAUGACAGAUCAUACUGUCUAUGAAAAAAAUGGGGUUCCAGGGAAGAAAAUUCCAGGAGAAGUUCUACAGACCAUUUGGCUUCUUCCACAUGUGAAAGCUGAAAUGAUUUAAUGACAAAUCGACCUCCAGUUAACUCCAAGCUUACAUUAAGGACAUGAUUUACUACAAUUCUGCUUAUUGUGGAAAAACAUUAAUCAAGUUUUCUGUCUGACAGGUUUUAUUUCACUCCUUGAAAACAAAGCUCCCUCUGGAGAAUUAGAACAAGACAUUUGAGGAUGGGAGGGAGCCAGAAAAUUAAGGAUUCAUCCUGCUGCAUUUCUUUUGCUGAACCUUCAUGAUGUGAAUAGGUAAGUCGAAUGCAAAGUGAGACACAGUUGGCAUUUCUUAGCAGGAGGUUAGGAACAGAGUGUGCUACUGCAUCAAGGUAACUUCAGUGAAACGGAAGUGUGUGACAGAGAUGGAGUAGGAGGUAGAAGACCCAAAUUCUAGACCCAGGGAUAUCACAUUUUGGGUAUGUGACCUUGGCCAAAUUCUCCAUAAAAUGAUCCUGAAUGUAAGUGAAUGUAAGUGUAUCUGGAUAACUACACAAUCAUAAAUGUAAACUAUCUCAAAGUUACUAGGAAAAAAAUUCUGGAGAAACCAGAACCUGCAAAAAAGGCCUAUCUGAGGGCUCCAGGAUUUUUACAGCCAUGAUUCUGUGGGGGUGGGGUAGGGAUAGUGCAGAGCCUUCUUCUCUGAGAGAGCUUUCCCACCCUGUGAAGUUUUUGAGGCAUCAGCCACUCCUGGGGCACCGACCCCUAAUCCACUGGAUCCCACAAAGUCCUGGGGUUACCUGUCGCUAGUAAAAUGGUGGGAGAUCCUGGCCCUGGGCCUCCACGUGAUGUUGCUGUUGAGCUCUGGUCUUUGACUUAAUUGCCUGGCCUGCUGCCCCUGCACUUGGCUAUGCUGGCCCAGUGUCCCCCAUGUCUGCUGUGUCCUCUCCAGCACCCUUGUGGCUGUUCCUGACAUGGGACACUGUCCCUCUCUGUCCCUCUGCCCUUUAUUUUUUCACAGAUCACUGGGGAUCGCACAAUGAAGCAAAAUAUGUUUCUGUGGCUUGUGAAGAGUCCAAUCUUUAUAACUUUUCUCCCAACUCCCAAGAAUAGUCAGCAAGCCUUUCCUUAGAAAUAGUAAGCCAACACUACGGUUGGAUUUUUCGUAUGUUGUAAUUUAUUAAAUGAUCAAUAAUUCUCCCAAUUUUGUCCCCCAGUAGAAUUUCUGAUAUCUGAAUUGGAUAGUUAAGGUGUCCAGAAUGUACAUAAUUUGAAUGAAGCUCUCCCAGUCAUUCUGGUAUUCUAUCUCUUCUUUUCCUUCUAAGCAUAAGGAAGCAGGCCAUUUUUAAAAAAGUUUUUUAAAUUUAUUUUUUAGGUGUAGAUGGACACAACACAAUGAAUUUAUUUUUAUGUGGUGCUGAGGAUCGAACCCGGGUCCCGCCCGCGCUAGGUGAGCGCUCUACCGCUGAGCCACAAUCCCAGCCCAAGCUACAAUCCUGAUCUUUUUUUUAAACUUAGCAACUUUUUAAAGAUUGCUUUUAUUUGAGGCUUUAAUCUCUCUUUCUAAAAUUGGGAGGAACUGUAAUAAAAUACAUUUUUGCUCACGUGAUCUUUUCCCAUCUUAGGUUAUUCCUCCAGAAUGUCAAACUCUCUCCUAAGACCACAGCUACCUCCACAGUUCAAGCCCUGGGCAACUGAUGAGCCUCCAUGUGGUCUUUCCAUGUCGACUCUUGUUCUUCUUAGCCUUUCUUCAUACUGCAGCUAGAGGGGUCUUUUUAAAAAAUCUGAUCAGUUCUCAUCCCACUGAAAACUCUUCUGUUGCUCUUAAGAAAGAUUCUCUCUCUUUAACAUAGAUAAGUGUUCUUCAAAUCUCAGAGAAUUAUUAUUCUUUGAAAAAUUGUUAAAACUUGCCGGUGACAUCAUCUUGAAAAGUAAGUAGUUCUGUAUGUUCCCCCCAUUCCUUAUUUUCUUUUACAUUUGCAGAUUUUCUUCCUUCUUUCUGAAUUCAGCAAGCAUGUUUUCACUUAUAUAUAGAAUCUUGCAUUUCUAUAGGUUAUAUAAAUCUUUGUAUUAAUUUGGUGUUAACUUGUAUUAACUUAAUAAAUCAUCUGACCACUUGUUCCUAAGCUUCAAUGAUGCUGACACCUCAUCCAAGCCUUGCCUGCUCUUUGUUGCAUCAGGGUAGAUGCUUGCCUUCUGUUCUGGAACCCUCUUUCCCGUACUUCCUUCUGUCACCAAUUAUAAAUCAUCAUGUUGAGUUUAAGUACACCUCUUCAUUAGUAUGGGGAGCCCAUGAUAACCACUCAGCGGUGUGAGAUUUAUUUUUAAUGAGUAGUGUAUGGUAGCAAUCAAAGUUACACUUUUAUCUUUUGUAUUUGUCCAUAUGGGAAGCCAGUCUUGGAGCACUGUGGAUAGAGCAGCCCACCUCCUCUCCCUAUGCAGACAUCCUUCCCAUGUUUCUUCAUUCUGGUAUGUGCCUAAGUCUGCACCUAUGUUUUCCAUUCUCUUUUACUCGAUUUUUAAAUCUACUCUUGCACCAUUACUGCACUGAGUUAAUUACCAUACAACUUUAUAAUCAAUCUUUGUAUCUUACAAGGAGAGUCCCUGUCAGCCCUUACUAAUUCAUCUUCAGAUUUAUCUUUGCUAUUCAUGGCCCUUGAUAUUCAUUAGACUUCUAGGAUCACUUUUUCAAAUUCUGUAAGUAGAACUUGCUGAUUUUAAUUGGAAUUGCAUGGAAUAUUACGGAUAAAUUUUGGGCAAUCUUACAUUUUCCGAUUUUCAUCAAGGAAGUAUGCAUAUAUUUCUAUUUUAUAUAAAUCUCUUAUGCCCUUCAAGAAAAUAUUAUAGUAUUCUCCAUAAAGACCUAAAGCAUCUCUAAUAAAUGUAUUCCUAGGUUUCUUAUGAACUGAUACUGUGAAAGGUAUGUUUUAAAUUUAUCUUUUAAUUGUUGAUGUAUAGGAAUGAAUUCAUUUUUCAUAAGGUAAUCUAGUAUUUAGCAACUUUAGUGAAAUCUUAAUAACUCAAGUUUUUUUCUUUAAAUUUGCUUAGGUUUUCUAUGGAGAUAUUAAUUUUGAGUACAAAUAAAGAAAGUUCUAUUUUCUUUACCUGUCCUUUUAAUAGUUACCUAUUUAAUAAAUAUUGUGCUAACUGGGACUUCCAAAAUAAUAAUGUUGAAUAAAAUUGACAUGGUAGAUAUUCUUGUCAGGUCUCACCAUUAAAUACAACAUCUGCCCUUAGGGUUUUUUUUAUGAUUUUCUUUCUCAGGCUAAAGAAACCUGUCAUAGUUUCUUAUUAUGAAUUUUUAUUGAAUUUUACCAAAUUCUUUCUCUAUACCUAUAAAGAAGUAAGAUAGAGAUUGUUCCUUCUUUUUCUAUUUACUGAGUUAGGAUGCAUGAGAGAAUUAUUAUUCUUUGAAGAAUUGUUAAAAUAUGCCUGUAACAUCAACUUGACUUUAAGUAGUUCUAUAUGUUCACCUACCCCAUUCCUUAUUUUCUUUUACACCUGCAGAUUUUCUUCCUUCUUUCUGAAUUCAGUAUGCAUGUUUUCACUUUUAUAUAGAAUCUUGCAUUUCUACAGGUUAUAUAAGUCUUUGUAUUAACUUGGUUUUCCAGCUUUCUAAAAUCAGAAAUCCUAAAUUAUUUCUUUAAGAAAAAAUAUUUUAAUUACUUUUGUAAAUGAGUCCCGUAUUACAUAUUCUUGCUAGUGAGUGCUGACAGAGAAGGCAUAUUUGCAUUCUUUUCCCGUCAGUUCUCUAAAGUCCUCACUAAAUACCCAGAAUAUUCCAGAUUCAGUAGUCUAUAACUGCAAAGUACUAUUUUAUUUUAUUUUGUAUUAAAAAUGUAGAGGAUUUCUAGGCUCAUUGUAUGGACUAUCAGAAAUUGAUGCUUCUUCAGUAUUACCCAGUAGACUUUUUGGAAUCCCCAAGGAAUAUACCUAUACAAAUAGCUCUUUUCUUAUUGAAUUGCUCCUGCAGCCAUGUUCUGAACCACCGCUUCUUCAGAGCCAGGAAAGUGUCCUCCCAGCACCUCAUGAUGCAUGUUGUACUCCUCUCAGGUUUGACACCAUUCUGUCUCAUAAUUCCCAAGGUAAAAUUAAGAACAGCCUCUUGUAUUUAACAAAAUGUAUUGGUGAGAAUCUAGAGAAGAUGUUCAAGUGACUUCCAAUGGAAAGAAAAUUAGAUUGUCAUCAGACUUUUCAAAAAGUAAUAUACAAUAUACUUAAGAUACUCAAAGAAGUAAUUAAGUAAUAUACUUAAGAUACUCAAAGAAAAAUAAGGUGAGCCAAAAGUUUUAUAACCAGCCAAACUGGCUUUCAAAACUAAAGGCUGUAGACAAAUCAUUAUCAACAUCUGAGAAUUCAGAGACUCUUUUCCCCUUAAUCCUUUGCUGUGAAAUCUGCUGGAGAACAAACUUCAGACAUUCUUCAAAUAGAGAUAGUUACAUGAAUACACGUAACGAGCAUGAAAUUCAUAGCCACUUACAGAGCUAAGUUGAGGUUAAAGUUUAAAAGACAAGCUUAUAGUGCAUAAUAGUUAUAUGCUCUGAUAAUAUAAUUAUAGAAUCACUAAAAAUGCAAAUAGAAUGGGUAGAGCAUAUACAUAGUUUUGAAAUUGUUUUCAGUAAUCCUUUGGUGGAGGGUAUUGAUAUAGGUAUUGUGAGACAACGAUUAUGUACAUAAUGAAGAAGAAAACAAAUGAUAGUUGUGGCCUAUUCUAACUCUAUAAUACAUUGUCUACCUGAGAACCAAGAUUCAUAAUAUGGAGGAAAGAAGAUACAGAUUAAACAGAAGAGGUUAAGUAAAAACUCACUUGUCCUGAAGUUGAAUUGGAUGAGGUUAUCAUUCAUAUUUAUACUUAUGAAUAUAUAGGUAAGUGUUCAUGGGUAUUCAAGAUGUCCUCAUUUCAAGGUGGCAAUCUAGGUACUGGGAAUCUCUCUCAGUUCUGGACAUGUUCACUGAAAAUUUUUGGAAACAAGCGUUCAACUCAGUAACAGAAAGCAUCCCUAACACCCAGAAUAUUAUUUGAAAUGAAGGUUUCUUGGUGAUACAACUAAUUUUGAGGCAAAAGCAGGAAAUAUACAAAUUGAUCACAGAAUGUGUUGUUAUAUCCCAAGAAUCAUGCCAAAAGCCAUCAAUUUAAAGGAACUUCCUAUUCAUCUAUUGAAGGGCACCUAGGUUGGUUCCACAGUUGAGCUGUUGUGAAUUGUGCUGCUAUAAACAUUGAUGUGGUUGUGUUCCUGUAGUAUACUGUUUUUAAGUCCAUUGGGUAUAGACUGAGAAGAGAGAUAUACCUGGGUCAAAUUGUGGUUCCAUUCCAAAUUUUCCAAGAAAUCUCCAUAGGAAUGGAUGAAAAAAAGGUGGCAUAUAUACAUAAUGGAAUAGUACUCAGCAAUAAAAGAGAAUAAAAUCAUGGAAUUUGCAGGUAAAUGGAUGGAGUUAGAGAAGAUAAUGCUAAGUGAAGUUAGCUAAUCCCCCAAAACCAAAUGCAGAAGUUUUCUUUGAUAUAAGGAGGCUGAUUCAUAGUUGGAUAGGGAGCGGAAGCAUGGGAGGAAUAGAUGAACUCUAGAUAGGGCAGAGGAAUUGGAGGGGAAGGGAGGAGGCAUGGGGUUAUUAAUGAUGGUGGAAUGUGAUGAUCAUUAUUAUCCAAAGUACAGGUAUAAAGACAUGAAUUGGUGUGAAUAUACUGUGUAUACAACCAGUGAUAUGAAAAAUUGUGUUCUAUAUGUGUAAUACGAAUUGUAAUGCAUUCUGCUGUCAUAUAUAAAUUAACAGUAAAUAAAAAAAUUUAAAAAAAAACAAAGGUCCUUUCUAUGGCCAGAAUGGAGCCAUUCAAGUUUUAAUAAAGAGCUGGGCACAGUGGCACAUACCUGUAAUCCCAGUGACUCAGAAUGCUGAGGCAUGAGGAUGGUGAGUUCAAAGCCAGCCUUAGCAAUUUAGAGAAGUUCCAAGUAACUCAGUGAGACCUGUCUCCAGAUGAAAUAUAAAAAAGGGUUGAGGAUGUGGCUCAGUGGUUAAGCACCCUGGGUACAAAACAAAAAGUUUAAUGAAGACAUUAAAAGCAAUGGAUUGAUACAUAUCAAAUAUAUUUAAAUCCAUAAAUUUAUAGUAAUUUAAAAAAAUGAUUGGUCAUAUUUGGAGAAGGAUUUGGGAACCAACUCAUUAUUAUGAAAACUAAUAAAGGGGAAAAUCAAUUACUCAUUAGGUCUCCCUAUAUGAAUUUUAUUUCAGUAACCAAAUAGUAGAUGAGUAAAGUGACCCUUCAUAGAAAGAUUUCAGUUAAUUAAGAAUGAAUGAAAUCUCCACCUUACAGCUCCUAUUCAAACCACAGAUCUAAACACUGAGCAGCAGUAGCUGCCAACCUUACCAAAGGAAAGGCAACCAGUCUAGGCUUCCUGAUGAAACAACACAGUAUCACCAAUGGUCUUAUCAAAGCAAAUAAACCUGAAUCAGAUGGAACUACCAAUUGACAGGGAACGCAGAGGACAGAGGAACACGUUAAACUCCACCACAGAGAAGCUCUGACGAUCCAACAUUUCAACAAAUACCUUGCAAAGGAUAAAAGGGACAUGGGGCAAAACUUGAGAUUAAAAGACAAAUUUUAAAACAAUCAAAAUUAAACUACAGUGUUUUGGGGUGCUCAAUUGAAUGGUAAAACUACUUGUUAAAAAGGGAAGUGACUUCAAUAAAAUUAGGAUAAUGGUUUCUUUUAGGGAAGAGGGUCCCAGCAUGUGAAGGGCUUCUUAGGUAGCUAGCAAAGUUCUGUUUCUUGACUUGGUGGUGAUUACAAGAGGAAAUGCCUCUAAUGAUUCAGUGAAGUAGAAUUUUGUAUCAUGGAGUUGUCUGUAUUUAUGCUUCAUUUCAUAGUGAAAAAUAUUUUUAAAAAUCAUCUGAACAUGCUUAGGGAAUAAUAGUACCACCAUUCAAACUAUGACUAAGUGCUAUUAAAACUAAUUAACUUUCAAGAUCACAAGCCAACACCUAAAUCUCGGCAUUCUUGUCCAGCUCCUACUGGGUUUUAAGAAAUAAAAACUAGUUUGAGUCCCACACAACCAAAUAACCAAGCCUCUUUAACCUUCCACCUCCUGUUCUUUCAUGUCAGCAAGAGGAAGUAGUCUGUCCUUUCCCUGGAAAAAAGCCUACUCAUUCAUCCUUGCCCUGGAAUGAUUGACACUGGGAACAUCCAGUCCCUUUUUGAAAAAUAUCCACUUCCAUUUACAAGGUGGAAUCUGGCUUCAGGGUAUCAGAAAAAAAAAAAGAUAAUAAUAAUGGCUGUUGAUGUAUUUCCCCACAUCUGGGUCAUUCAAUAUAAACAACAGCAUGUGAGAGAUGCCAUCACUUGAGUCCAAUCAUAUACUUAAGAAAAAUCAUUUAUUUACCUGUUCAAAAGAAUAUUCAGACUAAAGCUAACUUUAUGUCGUAACCAAAGCAUUAUCUUUCUAUUCUGAAAUGCAUAUUAAGAUGUUUAAUGCACUGCUUCUCCUUUAAAAUAACUCCCCGUUGGGGAUUUCCCUCCCUCAAAUCCUAUCUUGAGAUUUUCUGAAAAUAAGUUCUCAGAACAAAGGAAAUCUCAAAUUUUAUAAGUAAGAAACUCUAACAGCCCUCAGAAGAGAGUUUCCUCCAUUCACUCCUAUAGUCACAAACUGGAUAAAGUCCUAAGUUUUAUCUUUAUCAGGUACUCAUUUUAACUAAUCCCAGUCAUCGAUUUGAAAAAAUUUCUAUCAUUUAGCCCUUAGCUCUGUGUAUAAAUCUUGUAACCUCCUCUAAUUUUCCCAGAGUAAUUAUGACAUGGUGUGAAUCCAUCCUACAGGAAACAUUUUCCCCUUUGUUUGUUCUCACCCUUUACCAUUGUCUGUGAUAGAAACCACAAGCUGGCCACAACAUCCACUCUUUUUUCUCCUUCCUGGAGCCGAGGCUGAAGUAGAUUUUUCUAUUUUUGUUGCACUUAUUCCAGGGGACUAAGUUCUCACCAAUGGAAACUCAACAAAAAAAUUCUCCACUUACAGAAUUUGCCCAUUAAAACCUCCCACUCAUGCUGUCCAGCUCUUUCCUCUUUUUGGCCAGCUGGACUUGUGACCUGAAGGAAACCUUGGCAACUGAGGAUGGAACAUGGCAAAUUCACUGUCCCAUUCCAAUCCCUGAAGACCACAGUGUGCUGCUGCUGACCUGAACUGCCUCCUUGAGAGAGAAAUACACUGAUAUUUCAGCUGUUGACUUUUUAAGGGUUUCUUUGCUUGUUACCUUCCUAAUCAAUAUGGGAAGAGGCACCUAAAAGAGAAUACCAUAAACACACACACACACACACACACACACACACACACACACACCUGAAGAACACAGUGUUGGCUUCUUGUGUGGCCUGAAGGCAGAUAGGAGAUGGCUAUCAAAGGCUAGAAAGCCAGAGCCCCAAGUUAACCAUGAAAAACACUUUUAAAACACUUCAUCUCUGAUAGCUUGGAAAGUAGACCAAGAACUUACUGAGUCUGAAGCUCUAGGGAACAUAGCUGGUAAGAGUAGGAAUGCUAGUGUGCGAGGUUGAAAGCUGUGGCUUUUAGCCCAGUAAUGCAAAAAAGAGACGAGCUCAGGCAAAAAUUAACUAGAUUGUCUACUGAAACAGAACAAUCACUAAAAUAAUAAUAAUGGGACAGCCACAAUAAUAAUGAUGAUAACAAUCACAACAAUAGUAAUAAUUCUUCAAGACUGCUCUGGGCUGGGAAAAAAAAAAAAAACACUGAUGGUUUGUAUAGCUCAAACAGUAGAAGAUAAGAUUUAUAGGUUCAAAGAAUAAAAGGAGAUCCAGCCCAGUGGCAAAGAUAAAUAUCAAGAGCGUUGGCACCCAAGCCUGUUUCAGACGUCAGUGAUGGUUUGAUCAAGGAAGACAAACCUCAGAAAAGAUCAAGAAAAUACUUUGGGGUUUAUUUGCUAGCACAUGAAACAGAAUGGAAAUAAGUAGGUCAGAAGCCCAUCAUAUUUUUGAAAAAACAGUAGUGCCCCAGGAAACCACAAGCUUGAAUCUGUAAAUCACCCUCAUGCAACAGCAGAGAGUGAGCUCUGAAAGGUGUUAGCUCCUAAACCCACAUUUCCCCAUGUCCACCUCUUAUGUGGCCAUGGAGAAUAGCGGACAAGAUUGUUCUCCAGGAGGACAGAGUCAAGGGCCACAGAGAAUGCAGGCAAGGAAGUACCUUGCUCAGGACGACACUCGGUACAUUGACAUUUUAUUCUAGGGUUUGGAGGGUCUUUGCAAUACCUACCCAGCAGGAGUUCAGUGCUAUGGCCCAGGACUGCUGUGGGCAUUUCUAUUCUUGUCCGCUUUUGUAUAUUGGGUAGGCAGUUGGGCCCGGAUAACUUGUCUUUUAGUUCACAGGGUGCCAGAUCUUGAGGAACCACGUCUGGACCUCAAGAAGAGAUCUGAACACCAUCUGGAGACCCCAGACUUUGAUAUAGAUAUAAUAACUGGAGACAUUUUUUUUUUCAUGAGAAAUAGGCGAAUAUGGCUUAAUAAGGGAUGAUAGUGGCCCAAGGGACCAACUAUGUUAGAGACGCUAGUUGUCUACCAAAAAUACAUUCUUCUCUUCUUUCUGGGCACCCAGCUGGACUGCAUUUCUCAGCCUCUCCUGCAGGGAAGUGACUAAGUUUUCUUCAAUGGAAUAUGAUUACAGGGAUAAAUGGCACUUCUACUCUUGGCCCAUAACAGUCUCUCAUACUUGUCCCAGUAUGUCCCUACCUUUUACUUGCUAACAGAAGUGGCAAAGCCUGGAAUGACCUCUGGGUACCACAAGCCAAGAAUGACACAGCCAUCAUCACCUGGGUCUUUAAUUGACUGUGAAGGAGCUCUCCUAUCAGUCCAAAUCCUAUUAUAAUGACUUCUGAUUUUUUAAGCCACAGAAAUUUGGAUUUUAUUUUAACAGCAGUGUAGCAUAAUCUAAUAGAUUCCAUUAAAAAUAGCAAUUCCUUUUUUUUUAACAGAAUUAACUGUUUCAAGAAAGGCUACAGUUCACACAUUGAAUUGAAAACCUUGACAUUGUCCCUAUUGGCCAGAUGAGAUUGCGUGAUCCCUUCUCAAGACUCCUACCUGGAAUAACUACAAUCCUAAUCAUUUUACUCCUCUUUUGCCUCUUCUCUACCCCUUCCCGGACCCCUCUGUUGUGCUCUCCUGGCAAAACCCCAGCUCUGGAUUCACCCAAUCCUACCUCCUCCCAUGCUUGCAAGCUUCCCACGGCUGGUUCCACUUUAAAUUCAGGAUUGCUGACGUAGUACUGAUAGCCACAGUACUGUCCCAACAAUCUCACUGCAUUCCCUCAGUUCAUUCAUUCAUCGAAUCCCACAUACAGAUUUUCAGAUGUUUUUGUCUCUCUACAAUAAUCUCCAGUUCCUUUCCCUUCCUCCUCACUGUUAGCUGAUGAGUUUGAAUUCUACCUCAUUAAGAAAAUAGAAGCCAUCAGGGCGAGUUUCCUUUAGCUCCCACCAUCUUCUCCUCGACUGCCUACCUGCAUCUGUUCCUGUGUAAUGUGCCUUCCUUCUUGGGUGAAUUAUCUGUUUUUUCUAAAGCCAAAACCUCCAUAUGUGCACUGGGCACCAUUUCCUCUCAUCUACUGAAGGCUCUUACUCUAAAAACUCUCUCCUCUUUUUUGCACCAUCAAAAUUUCUCUCUGAAUUGGACGUUUCCCAUCAACACACAAGGCACCUGGAAAUCCUCUCAUGUUUCAAAAAGAGUCAAAAGAACUUGACUCCACCUUGCCACCAACUUGUUAGAGUAGAUGGUGGCCCGUUACGGGGAGCCCCGGGACACUCUGGGGUAAGUGAUGAAAAAAAGCUGCCCGUCCAUAGAUAGGACAGGAGCAAAUCUGCUCGUCCCUAGGCAGAUAGGGCGAGAGGAAAAAUGGCCAUUUCGAGAAAAUGGAGAAGAUUGAUACAGUAUGUUUGUGUCUUGUUUUGUCUCAGUAUAUUGUAUUGUCUCUGUGAUGAAAACAUGGAAGGGGUGUUAAGUAAAUUGAUAAGGGAAAGAGGCACCCCAGUGGAACCAAGAAUAGUUAGGGCAUGUGUUGAUGGAAGCCCAGGAACUCUAGUCAGAAAGAAAAAGAAAGUUCAGAAGAAGAAAGAUUAUCAGGAAAAAAGUUACAGCGAAAGGCUAUUACUGAAUACUUUUCGUUACCGGAGGGUGCAUCAAUCGGCGCGGUGGCGGCUGCCACGUGCGCGAGCUGGUCAUGGCGCAGCAAGGGCUUUCCAAGCAGCUGCAAUCGGCUCUUCUCUGCCCCCCGCCCGGGGAGCGGGAUGCCACUGCGAGAGCCCAAAUCCAAACCUGUGCCGGGAAGCAGUUUGAGACCAGGACUCUCCCCAGGGCCAUCUGGGGCUGCCCAGGACGCUACAGCCAGCAAAAGACGCUACUGGCGUCCCUGGUGUUUGGUCAUUUCCAAGGCCAGUAACUACAAUGGUUCUCCCACACCUGGAAGCUAAUGAGUAAUGAGCACUAUUAAGGCUUAUUUCAAAUGUAAAAAACCUUGAGGUAAUGUACUAAAUUGUUCAGAAGGUUGUUUUCUUAGUAGAGUGCUACAGGAUUUUCUUUAGCCAUCUGGAGUUCCUGCCUUCGUCCCAGUGCCCAUAAAGACCAAGGUGGAAGAAUUUCCAGUGUUGCUGAGAACCGGAGGAGACUUCGGAUUAAGCUAGUUGCCUGCAGAACUUACCUGGACUGUGAUUUAAGCUACCUGCCUGCAGAAUUUACCUGGACUGUGAGUUAAUCUAUUUGAGACACUGCUUUACCUGGACUGAGACAACAAACUGUAAUCUACAACAAAUUGUAACUUGGUAUCUUUGCUAAUGGUGUCAUUGCUGGUAUAAUUUUUCCAAGGGCUUCUUGCAUGGAGCCAUCAAUUGGCUUGGUAUUGUGGCAUUUUGUAUCCUCCCUUUCUGUUUGUAGCAGGUUAUUUAUGGUGUUUCUGUCAAAACCACUAUGGUCGUUAUUUAAAUUAAACAAAAGGGAAAAAUGUUAGAGUCUGUAAACAAGUCAAAAUAAACGGCUUCCACUUCUGCUGUA